UGGCGGACGGGUGAGUAACGCGUGAGGAACCUGCCUUUCAGAGGGGGACAACAGUUGGAAACGACUGCUAAUACCGCAUGAAGCAGCGAGGGGACAUCCCCUUGCUGUCAAAGAUUUAUCGCUGAAAGAUGGCCUCGCGUCUGAUUAGCUAGUCGGUGGGGUAACGGCCCACCAAGGCGACGAUCAGUAGCCGACCUGAGAGGUUGACCGGCCACAUUGGGACUGAGAUACGGCCCAGACUCCUACGGGAGGCAGCAGUGGGGAAUAUUGGACAAUGGGGGAAACCCUGAUCCAGCGACGCCGCGUGAGUGAAGAAGUAUUUCGGUAUGUAAAGCUCUAUCAGCAGGGAAGAAAAUGACGGUACCUGACUAAGAAGCCCCGGCUAACUACGUGCCAGCAGCCGCGGUAAU
Molecule: ribosomal RNA, 410 nt
Filed under: bacterium enrichment culture clone N3h17
Lineage: Bacteria
Description: bacterial SSU rRNA
Rfam family: Bacterial small subunit ribosomal RNA
Source: RNAcentral